GGGUGCAGCAGGCGCGAAACUCCACAAUGUACGGAAGUACGAUGGGGUUAUCUCGAGUGCAGUCCGAUAAGGGCGGCUUUUCCAUAGAGUAAUAUCCUGUGGGAAUAAGAGGGGGGCAAGACUGGUGUCAGCCGCCGCGGUAACACCAGCCCCUCGAGUGGUGGGGACUAUUAUUUGGCCUAAAGCGUCCGUAGCUGGCUGUAUCCGUCCCCCGUUAAAUCCAGCGUCCUAAGCGUUGGACCGCGGGUGAUACCAUACAGCUAGAGGGUGGGAUAGGUGAGCGGUAUUUCUGGGGUAGGGGCGAAAUCCUUUGAUCCCAGGAGGACCACCAGUGGCGAAGGCUGCUCACUAGAACACGCCUGACGGUCAGGGACGAAAGCUGGGGCAGCGAACCGGAUUAGAUACCCGGGUAGUCCCAGCUGUAAACGAUGCUAGCUAGGUGUUGGG
Molecule: ribosomal RNA, 447 nt
Filed under: uncultured archaeon
Lineage: Archaea
Description: bacterial SSU rRNA
Rfam family: Archaeal small subunit ribosomal RNA
Source: RNAcentral